AUUGAACGCUGGCGGCAGGCCUAACACAUGCAAGUCGAACGAGUGGCGGACGGGUGAGUAAUGUCUGGGAAACUGCCCGAUGGAGGGGGAUAACUACUGGAAACGGUAGCUAAUACCGCAUACCAUCGGAUGUGCCCAGGUGGGAUUAGCUAGUAGGUGGGGUAACGGCUCACCAAGGCGACGAUCUGUAGCUGGUUUGAGAGGAUGACCAGCCACACCGGGACUGAGACACGGCCCAGACUCCUACGGGAGGCAGCAGUGGGGAAUUUUGGACAAUGGGGGCAACCCUGAUCCAGCCAUCCCGCGUGUGUGAUGAAGGCCUUCGGGUUGUAAAGUUCUUUUGGCGGCGAGGCGGUACCUGCAGAAUAAGCACCGGCUAACUACGUGCCAGUCGCCGCGGUAAUUC
RNAcentral lists this ribosomal RNA (406 nucleotides) under uncultured bacterium. RNAcentral's name for it is "partial 16S ribosomal RNA". It matches the Rfam family "Bacterial small subunit ribosomal RNA", at positions 30 to 526 of the family's 1533-position model. The record is from RNAcentral.